UGUGAGCAAGGCCAAAUGCUGUGUUUAUUAGGACAUAACUUCCAGCAUAAGGCCAUCAUCCUUGGUUUCUCAAGCUUUAGGGGUCGUAUUCAUCACAAAAUUGCCUCCACGCAUGCAACUAAAUCUUGGUGGGUAACCUGAGUGACACUGUAACCGAGAUGGCCUCCAUGCCGCGGCCCACGCUGGCCCCUGUCGGCCUGGUGUUUGUAAUUACUGCGUGUGUCACAGAGGGAAGGGGACGGGGCCAUGCAGGAGACGACUGAGGACAGAUGGCUGGAGGAUCAGCCCUACGCAGGAGACGUGACAAGCCACAACACUGCUCACCACAGAAAGCUGACAGUGAAGGAGCCUCCUGCCGGGAGCCUGGAAGCUCUUUCCAGUGCUGUCCAACAAGCUGCCAUCGCUAACGUGUUCAUACGGCCAAGACCGCGGGGACCGGAGGAACAGUGCUGUAUGUUAAAAGGGAUGAAGAGCAGGAAACAGGCAUCUGCUGGUAAUCCUGCCCUGAAUCAUUGCCUGGUCAAUAAAUGACCGCUGAUAUCUGAACUCAGACGGUUGAAGAGGCAUUGUCAAAACUGAAUUUCCGCCGCUGUCCGUUUAAGUGGACCCCUAACAAGGGAAAGUCGGUCCAGUAUUAACAUGCAGGAAGCACCGUUGUCUUAGGUCCUGCGUAUUAAGCAUAUGGCACUUAGUCGAUGCAAAACACUGAAUUAUUUAUGGG
Molecule: long non-coding RNA, 721 nt
Organism: Carassius auratus (goldfish)
Lineage: Eukaryota; Metazoa; Chordata; Actinopteri; Cypriniformes; Cyprinidae
Exons: 3
Source: RefSeq, a predicted model, not a curated record